CGACGCAGAAAGUGACCAGCUGGCAACCCUGCCGCCAACCGUUUCGGAGGCGCCGCGUUAUGCUUUCAAAGCGCCGCGGCAAUGCGAAUGACAGCCGUCACGCGAAUGGGUCUACCUGUCAAAUGAUCAUUUCCGGUUAUUCGCUCCUCACAGUUAUCACACGUUUCAGAGAGAAGAUAGAAGUUUAAGACGGCAUUUUGUGCAGUGAUUAUAAAAAAAACUAGUUAAUAGAAUUACUACAGUGAAUAUUAGUUCAGUGAAUUUCCGUACAAAGCCUGUGAUUCCAAGAGAGUCAGUAUCCGCGUCGAUGACAUCCGUGUCCGUAGUCCGCUGAUCCUGUUAUCGCAAGAUCCUGUAAAGAGAAAAGUCGAAGAUCCGUUUGAAGAUCGAUUGAUCGAUCCGAAGAUCGAUUGAGGUUAGAUUGCCAUAAGGGCGUGUGAGCAACAAAAGCUUACCGAAUUGUAAGUAGAAUAUAUGAAAUAUGAGAAUUUAUACUUACCAAACCUUAACUUCUUAUAGUUUGAAGCACCUGAAUACACUAAUCGCUAUCAAAACCGAUUUGGCUUUAAUUCACGCCCCGAAACCCGACAAACUUCAAAAAUUCGUGGCAACAUGGAUGGAAGUCAGGACAAGGAAGGAUCGAAAGGACGAAAUGGAGAGCAAUCCAGUUGUCCCGAUUGCCAACGACCAGAUAGCGCGGAGGAUAUGGUCCAGUGCGACCAUUGCGACGUUUGGAAGCACUUCACUUGCGCCGGAGUGAAUGCAAGCGUCGCCGGCCGAGCAUUUGUGUGUGGCGACUGUUCUGCUCAGCACACCGAUGACGCAAUUACGGUGCAAAGCGAAUCCAGCCGCGCCAGUUCG
Aedes albopictus (Asian tiger mosquito) is the source of this 861-nucleotide long non-coding RNA. RefSeq lists it as uncharacterized. The record is from RefSeq and is a predicted model, not a curated record. NCBI's taxonomy places the organism in Eukaryota, Metazoa, Arthropoda, Insecta, Diptera, Culicidae. The transcript is spliced from 3 exons.